Molecule: small nuclear RNA, 164 nt
Filed under: Lynx canadensis (Canada lynx)
Lineage: Eukaryota; Metazoa; Chordata; Mammalia; Carnivora; Felidae
Description: U2 spliceosomal RNA (ENSLCNG00005000437.1)
Rfam family: U2 spliceosomal RNA (bases 1-95)
About the family: U2 is a small nuclear RNA (snRNA) component of the spliceosome (involved in pre-mRNA splicing). Complementary binding between U2 snRNA (in an area lying towards the 5' end but 3' to hairpin I) and the branchpoint sequence (BPS) of the intron results the bulging out of an unpaired adenosine, on the BPS, which initiates a nucleophilic attack at the intronic 5' splice site, thus starting the first of two transesterification reactions that mediate splicing.
Source: Rfam by way of RNAcentral
AUCGCUUCUCGGCCUUUUGGCUAAGAUCAAGUGUAGAGUUUGUGCAAAAUGAAUGCUUUAUUAAUUUUUAUUUUUAAAAAGCUUUUUCACCUCAAAAAUUCUAAUGCAAGGGGCGCCUGGGUGGCGCAGUCGGUUAAGCGUCCGACUUCAGCCAGGUCACGAUC